GCGGUGGAGCAUGUGGUUAAUUCGACGCAACGCGAAGACCUUACAGGCUUGACAUCCCCUGACCGCGUAUGAAAGUACGUUUUCACCCUCGGGUGACAGGGAGACAGGUGGUGCAUGGUUGUCGUCAGCUCGUGUCGUGAGAUGUUGGGUUAAGUCCCGCAACGAGCGCAACCCCUACGUUUAGUUGCUAACAGGUGAAGCUGAGCACUCUAGACGAACUGCCGUUGACAAAACGGAGGAAGGUGGGAUGACGUCAAAUCAUCAUGCCCCUUAUGUUCUGGGCUACACACGUGCUACAAUGGCCGGUACAGACGGAGGCGAAGCCGCGAGGCGGAGCAAAUCCGAAAAAGCCGGUCUCAGUUCGGAUUGCAGGCUGCAAUUCGCCUGCAUGAAGUCGGAAUCGCUAGUAAUCGCAGGUCAGCAUACUGCGGUGAAUACGUUCCCGGGCCUU
Molecule: ribosomal RNA, 451 nt
Filed under: uncultured Pelotomaculum sp.
Lineage: Bacteria; Bacillati; Bacillota; Clostridia; Eubacteriales; Desulfotomaculaceae
Description: bacterial SSU rRNA
Rfam family: Bacterial small subunit ribosomal RNA
Source: RNAcentral